This 943-nucleotide ribosomal RNA is filed under the name Agaricus alboumbonatus. RNAcentral describes it as "partial large subunit ribosomal RNA". It matches the Rfam family "Eukaryotic large subunit ribosomal RNA", at positions 34 to 966 of the family's 3401-position model. Lineage: Eukaryota; Fungi; Basidiomycota; Agaricomycetes; Agaricales; Agaricaceae. The record is from RNAcentral.
CUAGCAUAUCAAUAAGCGGAGGAAAAGAAACUAACAAGGAUUCCCUAGUAACUGCGAGUGAAGCGGGAAAAGCUCAAAUUUAAAAUCUGGCGGUCUCUGGCCGUCCGAGUUGUAAUCUAGAGAAGUAAUGCCCGUGCUGGACCGUGUAUAAGUCUCCUGGGAUGGGGCGUCAUAGAGGGUGAGAAUCCCGUCUUUGACACGGACUACCAGUGCAUUGUGGUAUGCUCUCAAAGAGUCGAGUUGUUUGGGAAUGCAGCUCAAAAUGGGUGGUAAAUUCCAUCUAAAGCUAAAUAUUGGCGAGAGACCGAUAGCGAACAAGUACCGUGAGGGAAAGAUGAAAAGAACUUUGGAAAGAGAGUUAAACAGUACGUGAAAUUGCUGAAAGGGAAACGCUUGAAGUCAGUCGCGUUGGCCGGGGAUCAGCCUUGCUUUUGCAUGGUGUACUUUCUGGUUGACGGGUCAGCAUCAAUUUUGACCGCUGGAAAAAGACCUGGGGAAUGUGGCAGCUUCGGCUGUGUUAUAGCCCCUAGUCGCAUACAGUGGUUGGGAUUGAGGAACUCAGCACGCCGCAAGGCCGGGUUUCGACCACGUUCGUGCUUAGGAUGCUGGCAUAAUGGCUUUAAGCGACCCGUCUUGAAACACGGACCAAGGAGUCUAACAUGCCUGCGAGUAUUUGGGUGGAAAACCCAAGUGCGUAAUGAAAGUGAAAGUUGAGAUCCCUGUCGUGGGGAGCAUCGACGCCCGGACCAGAACUUUUGGGACGGAUCCGCGGUGGAGCAUGUAUGUUGGGACCCGAAAGAUGGUGAACUAUGCCUGAAUAGGGUGAAGCCAGAGGAAACUCUGGUGGAGGCUCGUAGCGAUUCUGACGUGCAAAUCGAUCGUCAAAUUUGGGUAUAGGGGCGAAAGACUAAUCGAACCAUCUAGUAGCUGGUUCCUGCCGAGU